RNAcentral lists this ribosomal RNA (304 nucleotides) under uncultured bacterium. Its description in RNAcentral is "partial 16S ribosomal RNA". It matches the Rfam family "Bacterial small subunit ribosomal RNA", at positions 509 to 807 of the family's 1533-position model. The record is from RNAcentral.
CAGCAGUCGCCGCGGUAAUACGGAGGGGGCUAGCGUUGUUCGGAAUUACUGGGCGUAAAGCGCACGUAGACGGCUUGGUAAGUUAGAGGUGAAAGCCCGGAGCUCAACUCCGGAAUUGCCUUUAAGACUGCCGAGCUAGUAGGUGAGAGAGGUAAGUGGAAUUCCGAGUGUAGAGGUGAAAUUCGUAGAUAUUCGGAAGAACACCAGUGGCGAAGGCGGCUUACUGGCUCAUUCUAGACGCUGAGGUGCGAAAGCGUGGGGAGCAAACAGGAUUAGAUACCCGCGUAGUCCCUGUCUCUUAUAC